Molecule: long non-coding RNA, 2335 nt
Filed under: Diabrotica virgifera virgifera (western corn rootworm)
Lineage: Eukaryota; Metazoa; Arthropoda; Insecta; Coleoptera; Chrysomelidae
Description: uncharacterized LOC126886982
Source: RNAcentral
AAAAUAUAGUGAAGAGGAAGAAUUGAAUUUAUCAUUUUAUAUGAUUCACACACGGAAAGAAUCUGUCUAUUCUUUGUUGGUUUGCUCUUGCCACUUUGUGAAUUCUGACCAACAAUUUUUGUGCACAACAAAGCCAAAGGUUUUUUGACAGACAAUCAACUUUUACAUCCAAAUUAAAUGAGUAAAGUAAGUCAUUUUACUUGAAUAUCUGUGUUGAAAUAUCUGUUACAAUGCUGUAGAGGGCAAAUCUACUUUAUAGAAUUUAUUUUCAAGGACCCAUUCUGCAUAUAGAGGUCCUCUCAUUUCGCUGAGUUGAUUUUCAUUUUAGUAUGAUAAUAUAUUUGUUGGUCCAUUUAUAUUUUCUUUGUCCGCCUAGUUCAUAAAUUCUCAAUUUUAUGAUGUAGAUAGUGAUGCCCGAUUGAAAUUCCAAAAUUUAUUUCCAUUAUCUCAAAUAUACUAAAUUUACAAUUAAGAUGCAGUAAAAAUAAACAAACCAAGACACGUUAAAUGCUGCUAAUAAGAGCACUCCUGAAUCAUAAUUUACAAUGUAUAUACACUGUAAAUCCCAAAUCAUUAUUUCCAAAGUUUAUACAUUGUAAAUUAUAAUUCACAAGUGCUCCUUGUAGCAUUUAACGUGUCUUGGUUUGUUUAUUUUUACUGCAUCUUGAUUGUAAAUUUAGUAUAGUAUUUAUUGAGAAAAUACUAUUUUAGCUUGCCAUUUUCAUUAUAAAUUAUUUCCAGUAAAACAGUCAUUCUCUUUAGAUAUUUUAUUCCAAAACAUAUUUAUUAAGUGCUUAAUUUUUUGUAAUUUUGUCUUAAUAGAAAUACCUACUUCUUUAUCUGUUAAUAUUGACCUUCAGGUAAUUUCUUUUGCUCAUAUAAAUACGAUGUUAUGUGCUGGUCUCACUCAGGUUCAUUUGUAUAGGCUCUGCCAAGUGAAACCUAAACAAACCUAGUUGGUAAGUAGGUUUUCUGAUUUUAUUGCUUAAUUCUCUGUUCACAUUUUUGUUAAUUGACUAACUCAUUUGCAUAAUACAGUAGAACCCCGAGUAUCUGUGUAUGGAUUAUCCGGGCUGCGGAUUAUCCGUGCUAUGAUUUUUUAUUACAAAAAUUGUAAUUUUGAGUUUUUAUCAAAAUAUUGUCACUGUAAAUCACUCAACAGAACCUCUAUACGCCGAGAAAAUGACUCAUAAUGAAAGAUUUAUUUUUUCUGUUAUCUUUUUAUGGUAGUUACAUAUAUACUCGUACAUACAUAUGUAUCUAUUCUACAUAAGUAAUGCAUGUUCGGAUUAUCCGUGCUUUUCAAUUAUCCGUGCCGAGGUCUGGUCCCGAGGAGCACGGAUAAUCGGGGUUCUACUGUAUAUUUGUUUGAUUAUUUCAUUCAUAGGAGAUUCUGACCAAUAGAAAACUACAGAAAUUUGAAUUAAAUUGAUAAUUUUUGAUAAUUGCCCGUUGUUAAGUAUAUUACGUCAGAGAUGCCCUUCGUUGCUACGGACAUUAAUGACAAUUAAUGGUUUAAAAAUUAUAGAUAGAUAGAUAAAAGUUAUAACUUUCAAUCGUCAAAUAUUCAUAAAAACUUUGUGUUUAAUUGUACUAAUUUGUACUUACAUAAAUAAAUUACAAUAAAAUUUUGGUUUUGAACAGUUUUAUUCAUGAAAUAAUCGCAACAAAUUGCACUCGAACUCUAAAAUUAAUAUAGAAUUUUUGCCCUUGUGACACAAUUUCACUCGCCUUUGGCUUGUGAAAUUAAAACUGUCAAAGUGUCACUCGGGAAAAAUUCAAUAAUUUUAGAGCUUUUGUGCAAUUACUACUGAUAAUUUCAUUUAUCCAAUUAGGCACCCAGGAGAAGGGCAUGGCCCUAUUUCAAAUAUGAGUAUUAUAGAAAAUUAACAGUUCCCCAGGCAACCAUCCAAUGAGAAUCGUAGAAAAAGUAACAGUUCCCUACGCAACUAUCCAAUGAAAAUCUUAAGGCCAUAAUGAAUUGUAUCACCCGAAUGUCAUUCUCUAGGGGUGAGCAAGUCUCUCAGGCUGGGUUAAUUCACCAUUGCCUACUUGCAAGAGCAAUUGUCAACAUUUCUACAGUUCCACAGGUGACCAUAUUGUCUCUUUUUGGACAUACCAUCUGACACCCUCUGAAGAAGAUCUUGGGGUGUAAAUAACCCAGGACAGCACCGGAAGAAGCCGUCAGACCACAAGCUAAAUUUCUUAUUAAAAUCUAUAGCUUGCCUAUAAACAGAGACAAACUAUUUUUAUAUAAAAUAACUUUAUUAGUUCUAAAAUGUAGAUCUUGAAUUGUGACCAUAAUAAAAUGAGAAAAUAAAGUGUUUAUACCGAA